RNAcentral lists this ribosomal RNA (274 nucleotides) under uncultured bacterium. Its description in RNAcentral is "partial 16S ribosomal RNA". It matches the Rfam family "Bacterial small subunit ribosomal RNA", at positions 523 to 796 of the family's 1533-position model. The record is from RNAcentral.
AUACGGAGGGUCCGAGCGUUAAUCGGAAUUACUGGGCGUAAAGCGUACGUAGGUGGCUUGAUAAGUCGGAUGUGAAAGCCCUGGGCUCAACCUGGGAACUGCAUUCGAUACUGUCUGGCUAGAGUAUAGUAGAGGGAAGUGGAAUUCCGGGUGUAGCGGUGAAAUGCGUAGAUAUCCGGAGGAACACCAGUGGCGAAGGCGGCUUCCUGGACUAAUACUGACACUGAGGUACGAAAGCGUGGGGAGCAAACAGGAUUAGAUACCCCGGUAGUCC